RNAcentral lists this ribosomal RNA (498 nucleotides) under uncultured bacterium. RNAcentral describes it as "bacterial SSU rRNA". It matches the Rfam family "Bacterial small subunit ribosomal RNA", at positions 501 to 1000 of the family's 1533-position model. The record is from RNAcentral.
CUACGUGCCAGCAGCCGCGGUAAUACGGAGGGUGCGAGCGUUAAUCGGAAUAACUGGGCGUAAAGGGCACGCAGGCGGACUUUUAAGUGAGGUGUGAAAGCCCCGGGCUUAACCUGGGAAUUGCAUUUCAGACUGGGAGUCUAGAGUACUUUAGGGAGGGGUAGAAUUCCACGUGUAGCGGUGAAAUGCGUAGAGAUGUGGAGGAAUACCGAAGGCGAAGGCAGCCCCUUGGGAAUGUACUGACGCUCAUGUGCGAAAGCGUGGGGAGCAAACAGGAUUAGAUACCCUGGUAGUCCACGCUGUAAACGAUGUCGAUUUGGGGGUUGAACUUUAAGUUUGGCGCCCGUAGCUAACGUGAUAAAUCGACCGCCUGGGGAGUACGGCCGCAAGGUUAAAACUCAAAUGAAUUGACGGGGGCCCGCACAAGCGGUGGAGCAUGUGGUUUAAUUCGAUGCAACGCGAAGAACCUUACCUACUCUUGACAUCCAGAGAACAUUC